RNAcentral lists this long non-coding RNA (475 nucleotides) under Physcomitrium patens. RNAcentral describes it as "long non-coding RNA (PPAT_LNC003720)". The record is from RNAcentral. Lineage: Eukaryota; Viridiplantae; Streptophyta; Bryopsida; Funariales; Funariaceae.
AGACCAUAAAAAUACUAAGUAAUUUUUAAUCAGUUCAAAGGAACCUCAAAAGAAUUACAAAGAAAUAAUAAAAAAUCUUAAAAAAAUAUAAGAAUGAUCACAAAUAUAUUUCAAAUAAAUCUCAAUCCAAUCUUAAUUUAAUCUUAGUUAAAAUCCUAUUGGACUUCAAUCAAACUUUAGGCCAAAAACUAACUAAAUCUUAAAUCCUAAAUAAAUUUUAAUUCCUAAAUCAACUUCUAAUCAAAUCCUAAUCCUAAAUCAAAUCCUAACCAAAUCCUAAAUAAAUCCUUAAUUCUAAAUUCUAAACCAAAUCCUAAUCAAAUCCUAACCCUAAAUCAAAUCCUAAUCAAAUCCUAAAUCCUAAAUCAAAUCCUAAUCAAAUCCUAAAUAAAUCAUAAAUACUAAAUCAAAUCCUAAAUCAAAUCCUAACCAAAUCCUAAAUCUUAAAUCAAAUCUUAAUCAAAUCCUAAACCUA